RNA transcript from Eriocheir sinensis (Chinese mitten crab), 1825 nucleotides. RefSeq lists it as uncharacterized. NCBI's taxonomy places the organism in Eukaryota, Metazoa, Arthropoda, Malacostraca, Decapoda, Varunidae. The record is from RefSeq and is a predicted model, not a curated record. The transcript is spliced from 3 exons.
ACGUACGCACACACACACAAAGAAAUAUAUUUACUAUAAUUUCCAACUAAGAAAAAACAAUACACCAAUCACAGCUAUCAUAUAAAUAACAGAAUGCAAUUCAAACUUGUACCGAAUUUUAACUAAACAAUCACGACGCAAAACAUUAUCAGCAUUGCAAUUAAACUAAGCAAGAUGAACGUUGCAUUUACAGGCAACGCUACGUAAACCCUAACAGAAUCCUACUCAUAAAUAUAUGCUGAAUUUUUGAUCCCACAAACAGUAAUUCUCCUCCUCGCACCCUCUACGUGGCUCAUCAAGUUCCUCCACCACCAUAACACUGGGCACGUCAGCUUUGUUUCGUCAGUCAGGGGGAAAGAUUCUAUGGUGCCCAAGGUGGUGUUUCGUCAGUCAGGGGGAAAGAUUCUAUGGUCCCCAAGGUGGUGUUUCGUCAGUCAGGGGGAAAGAUUCUAUGGUGCCCAAGGUGGUGUUUCGUCAGUCAGGGGGAAAGAUUCUAUGGUGCCCAAGGUGGUGUUUCGUCAGUCAGGGGGAAAGAUUCUAUGGUGCCCAAGGUGGUGUUUCGUCAGUCAGGGGGAAAGAUUCUAUGGUGCCCAAGGUGGUGUUUCGUCAGUCAGGGGGAAAGAUUCUAUGGUGCCCAAGGUGGUGUUUCGUCAGUCACGGGGAAAGAUUCUUUGGUGCCCAAGGUGGUGUUUCGUCAGUCAAGGGGAAAGAUUCUUUGGUGCCCAAGGUGGUGUUUCGUCAGUCAGGGGGAAAGAUUCUAUGGUGCCCAAGGUGGUGUUUCGUCAGUCAAGGGGAAAGAUUCUAUGGUGCCCAAGGUGGUGUUUCGUCAGUCAAGGGGAAAGAUUCUUUGGUGCCCAAGGUGGUGUUUCGUCAGUCAAGGGGAAAGAUUCUUUGGUGCCCAAGGUGGUGUUUCGUCAGUCAAGGGGAAAGAUUCUAUGGUGCCCAAGGUAGUGUUUCGUCAGUCAAGGGGAAAGAUUCUAUGGUGCCCAAGGUGGUGUUUCGUCAGUCAAGGGGAAAGAUUCUUUGGUGCCCAAGGUGGUGUUUCGUCAGUCAAGGGGAAAGAUUCUAUGGUGCCCAAGGUAGUGUUUCGUCAGUCAAGGGGAAAGAUUCUUUGGUGCCCAAUGUGGUGUUUCGUCAGUCAAGGGGAAAGAUUCUAUGGUGCCCAAGGUAGUGUUUUGUCAGUCAAGGGGAAAGAUUAUUUGGUGCCCAAGGUGGUGUUUCGUCAGUCAAGGGGAAAGAUUCUAUGGUGCUCAAGGUGGUGUUUCGUCAGUCAAGGGGAAAGAUUCUUUGGUGCCCAGGGUAGUGUUUCGUCAGUCAAGGGGAAAGAUUCUUUGGUGCCCAAGGUGGUGUUUCGUCAGUCAAGGGGAAAGAUUCUUUGGUGCCCAGGGUAGUGUUUCGUCAGUCAAGGGGAAAGAUUCUUUGGUGCCCAAGGUGGUGUUUCGUCAGUCAAGGGGAAAGAUUCUUUGGUGCCCAAGGUGGUGUUUCGUCAGUCAAGGGGAAAGAUUCUUUGGUGCCCAAGGUGGUGUUUCGUCAGUCAAGGGGAAAGAUUCUUUGGUGCCCAAGGUGGUGUUUCGUCAGUCAAGGGGAAAGAUGUUGUGAUGUCCAAGGUGAUGUUGGUGGCCAUCUCCGUUGUUCCUAGCCAGAGAUUAUUUGAUUCUGUGUGAUGAGCGAUGUAGGGUCUCUGCACUGAUUUUGAUGCCUAGUAGGUUGAUGUUGACUACCCUCUCUGCUGACCCGGGCAGAGAUAAUGCUUUGUCUGACGAAUGGAUCGGGAGUUUGUUGAGAUAAUCUGGCAAAAUCAUCUACCCUUUAAAGAAAGUCCCGU